GAUUAAUUGGAUUACAUCACUUUGGAUUCCUUCAAACACUGCAGCAAAGAUUGCCUAGCAGAUAACAAAUUUUUUUGCAGGAUGGAUGUUAUGGAUUAGUUGAGGUAACUCAUGUUUAAUGACACCAAACAUAUAUAUUGAACAAACGCUCUAGUAUCUAGCUGCUUGGCUUGUUUUCGUGCUCCUGUCAACAAUGGCAUCACCCUCUGUAUUAACAGCAGCACUAAAAUCUCUCAUCCCCAUCAAACAACCCAUCAUUUGAAGCUGCUUUGACAUUGAAUUCCACAAAGACCACAGAACUUCACAAUCAAUUUUAUUAUAGUAUCUGAACCUGUGAUGGUCACUUCUCCCUUGUUCAAAGGUACAACGUGCU
RNAcentral lists this unclassified non-coding RNA (373 nucleotides) under Hevea brasiliensis (rubber tree). Lineage: Eukaryota; Viridiplantae; Streptophyta; Magnoliopsida; Malpighiales; Euphorbiaceae. The record is from RNAcentral.